GAUGAACGCUGGCGGCGUGCCUAAUACAUGCAAGUCGAGCGAACGGACGAGAAGCUUGCUUCUCUGAUGUAGCGGCGGACGGGUGAGUAACACGUUGAUAACCUACCUAUAAGACUGGGAUAACUUUGGGAAACCGGAGCUAAUACCGGAAAAUAUUUUGAACCGCAUGGUUCAAAAGUGAAAGACGGUCUUGCUGUCACUUAUAGAUGGAUCCGCGCUGCAUUAGCUAGUUGGUAAGGUAACGGCUUACCAAGGCAACGAUGCAUAGCCGACCUGAGAGGGUGAUCGGCCACACUGGAACUGAGACACGGUCCAGACUCCUACGGGAGGCAGCAGUAGGGAAUCUUCCGCAAUGGGCGAAAGCCUGACGGAGCAACGCCGCGUGAGUGAUGAAGGUCUUCGGAUCGUAAAACUCUGUUAUUAGGGAAGAACAUAUGUGUAAGUAACUGUGCACAUCUUGACGGUACCUAAUCAGAAAGCCACGGCUAACUACGUG
RNAcentral lists this ribosomal RNA (496 nucleotides) under uncultured bacterium. Its description in RNAcentral is "partial 16S ribosomal RNA". It matches the Rfam family "Bacterial small subunit ribosomal RNA", at positions 28 to 507 of the family's 1533-position model. The record is from RNAcentral.